GAUGAACGCUAGCGGCAGGCUUAACACAUGCAAGUCGAGGGGUAACAUUGAGUGCUUGCACUCAGAUGACGACCGGCGCACGGGUGCGUAACGCGUAUAGAAUCUACCUUAUACAGGGGGAUAGCCUUUGGAAACGAAGAUUAAUAUCCCAUGGUAAGUAAUUGUGGCAUCGCAAUUACUUUAAAGUUUCGACGGUAUAAGAUGACUAUGCGUCCUAUUAGUUAGUUGGUAAGGUAACGGCUUACCAAGACCGCGAUAGGUAGGGGUCCUGAGAGGGAGAUCCCCCACACUGGUACUGAGACACGGACCAG
This 311-nucleotide ribosomal RNA is filed under the name uncultured bacterium. Its description in RNAcentral is "bacterial SSU rRNA". It matches the Rfam family "Bacterial small subunit ribosomal RNA", at positions 28 to 334 of the family's 1533-position model. The record is from RNAcentral.